Long non-coding RNA from Medicago truncatula (barrel medic), 831 nucleotides. RefSeq lists it as uncharacterized. Lineage: Eukaryota; Viridiplantae; Streptophyta; Magnoliopsida; Fabales; Fabaceae. The record is from RefSeq and is a predicted model, not a curated record. The transcript has 4 exons.
UCCUCUCACUUUCCAACCAUGUAAAAAACUGGUCAAUUCUUGACCAAAAAAGAAGCCCCCUCAAUUCGUGCCUCUCAGAACGGAACCAGCAUCGUGAUCUCUCCGCCGCCGUUGAGACCUCUCUCUCCUCCAUCGAGAUUCAGAUUGGAUAUCCAUCGAAGAAAACUCAAUCCUUAUGCCUUCAGUACACCACUGUUGGAUCUACGUACCUCUCAAUUUGUAGAUCGACAAUGGAUCUGAUGAAGAUUUAUGAUAUGAUAUUUGUUGUAGUGAGAGUGAGAAGAAUUGAUUCAUCAACCUUGCAAUUGCUGUAGUGUUUGGAGAAUGCACGUAAUCUGUUUGAUGAAAUGCAUGUGAGGAAUUUGUUUACUUGAUCUCCUAUGACUGGUGCUUGUUCAGAUUCUACUCUUUCUAGGACACACUUCACAACCUCAUUGGCAGCAAUGAGUCUAUAGAUGAUGUUGAAGCUAUAGAAAAUGGAAGCAGCAAGGUUGAUAAAGAAAAUACUGUCCAAAAGAAUGAAAUUCUCUUCAGGAUUAUAUGCUCUUUAUCCAGUCCAAAAGAAAAUACCGUAUGUUGAAGUUAUAUGGAUUUGCUGGAUCUUCUUCCCAUCCACACCACACCCCAAGAAGAAUCAAAUCAGUUCACUAACGAAGAUGGCGACAAUGAAUUUGAUGAAGACAUUAAUGAAGAUGACGACAUCAAUACUUUUGUUUAUACUCUUGUAGUACAUAACAAACUUUGUUUAGGAUGUGUUUCUUGAAUUAUAGUACUCAAAAUACUCCUGUGAAUAUAUUUAUGUUUAAUAUUGAUUCAAAUUUAUGUAUUAAA